AGUCGAGGGGCAGCGGGGGUGAUGGCUUGCCAUCGCCUGCCGGCGACCGGCGCACGGGUGAGUAACACGUAUGCAACCUGCCCGCCACAGGGGGAUAAGCGGAAGAAAUUCCGUCUAAUACCGCGUGACGCGGCGCCGGGGCAUCCCGGUGCCGCCAAAGGGAUUACCGGUGGCGGAUGGGCAUGCGGCGCAUUAGCUAGUCGGCGGGGUAACGGCCCACCGAGGCGACGAUGCGUAGGGGUUCUGAGAGGAAGGUCCCCCACACUGGUACUGAGACACGGACCAGACUCCUACGGGAGGCAGCAGUGAGGAAUAUUGGUCAAUGGCCGAGAGGCUGAACCAGCCAAGUCGCGUGAGGGAAGACGGCCCUACGGGUUGUAAACCUCUUUUGUCGGGGAGCAAAGCGAACCACGUGUGGUUCAUUGAGAGUACCCGAAGAAAAAGCAUCGGCUAACUCCGUGCCAGCAGCCGCGGUAAUACGGAGGAUGCGAGCGUUAUCCGGAUUUAUUGGGUUUAAAGGGUGCGCAGGCGGAGGUGCAAGUCAGCGGUCAAAUUGCGGGGCUCAACCCCGUACUGCCGUUGAAACUGCAUCCCUUGAGUGCGCGAGAAGUAUGCGGAAUGCGUGGUGUAGCGGUGAAAUGCAUAGAUAUCACGCAGAACUCCGAUUGCGAAGGCAGCAUACCGGCGCGCAACUGACGCUCAUGCACGAAAGCGUGGGUAUCGAACAGGAUUAGAUACCCUGGUAGUCCACGCAGUAAACGAUGAACACUAACUGUUCGGCCAGAAUGAUGGCUGAGUGGUACAGCGAAAGCGUUAAGUGUUCCACCUGGGGAGUAC
Molecule: ribosomal RNA, 837 nt
Filed under: uncultured bacterium
Lineage: Bacteria
Description: bacterial SSU rRNA
Rfam family: Bacterial small subunit ribosomal RNA
Source: RNAcentral